GGGGGGAGGCCGGAUCCUGGGCUGUGUCCCGGCACCCAGUGCUCCUGGUCUGCGCGGUUGAAUUCGUGCUCCCGGCCGCGCAGCCGCCU
Molecule: microRNA precursor, 89 nt
Filed under: Canis lupus dingo (dingo)
Lineage: Eukaryota; Metazoa; Chordata; Mammalia; Carnivora; Canidae
Description: mir-8799 microRNA precursor family
Rfam family: mir-8799 microRNA precursor family
Source: Rfam by way of RNAcentral